This 1964-nucleotide unclassified non-coding RNA is filed under the name uncultured fungus. RNAcentral describes it as "sequence contains 18S rRNA gene, ITS1, 5.8S rRNA gene, ITS2, 28S rRNA gene". The stretch from base 912 to 1964 matches the Rfam family "Eukaryotic large subunit ribosomal RNA", at positions 1 to 961 of the family's 3401-position model. Lineage: Eukaryota; Fungi. The record is from RNAcentral.
GGAAGGAUCAUUACAAGUUGGAGGGGGAGAGGAGGGGCGAGCUUAGGAAGCGAGUUUUUGAAGAGCGAGCUUAUGAAGCAAGUUUUUGAAGAGCGGGCUUAUGAAGCAAGUUUUUUGAAGAGCGAGCUUAUGAAGCAAGUUUUUGAAGAGCGAGCUUUUGAUAGCAAGUGUCUACUCUUUGCUCUUAUAUAUGCACGAGCAGCGGGGGAAAAGAGUGUUGGAAAAGUGUUGACAUGCAAGUGUUGACAUUUGACAUUUGACAUGUAAGUGUUGACAUUUGACAUUUGACAUUUGACACUGCACAACCUCUGCAGCUCAUGUUUGCGCAUGAUUGUUUGACAGAGUUUAAUAGAAAGCAAAGAUAUACAACUUUUAACAACGGAUCUCUAGGCUCUUGCAACGAUGAAGAACGCAGUAAAGUGCGAAAAGUAAUGCGAUUUGCAUGAAUCUGUGAGUCAUUUAAUAUUUGAACGCAACUUGCGCCCUAGGGCAUGUCUGGCUGAGAGCAGAAAAACAAGAUAAAGGAAUGUGUAAGAGAGAGAAGAGUAAGGUGCUUGAUGUGGUACUUGUCGAGUAUUGAACUUGAUGUGUACUUGAUAUGGCAUGGUACUUGGAGUUGAACUUGUGCAAACCAAUAUGACAUGACGGUUGUCUUGGAAAAAGAUUAAUGGUGUAAAAGCCAUUAGGUAUUUUGACGAGGACAUUGUUUAAAAAGAGCUAGUAAAAGAAGCAUGCUUUUAGAAUCAAGUGCUAAGCAUUCUGGAUUGUAAAGGGGUGUGGAUCAAGAGUGGAAGCAGCAAGGAUAGGUGUAGAUGCGGCAGAUGGCAAUUAGCAAUUAGCAAUUAGCAAUUUGCGGCAGAUGGCAAUUUGCAGCACUUACACUUUAUACUUGGAUCCACCAUGACAUAUUCUAGCCUCAGCUCAAACAAGAUUACCCGCUGAACUUAAGCAUAUCAGUAAGCGGAGGAAAAGAAACUAACAAGGAUUCCCCUAGUAACGGCGAGUGAAGCGGGAAGAGCACAAAUUUAAAAUCACCACAUUGUCAAGUGUGGGGAAUUGUAGUCUAAAGACGGUGAUUGAGCAAGACAAGGAAGAGCAAGUUUUCUGGAAAGAGACGCCAAAGAGGGUGAGAGCCCCGUAGGAUUCCAGUCUCGCAAGAAGAGCCAGUCUACGAGUCGAGUUGUUUUGGGAAUGCAGCUCAAAGCGGGUGGUAGAUGUCAUCCAAGGCUAAAUACAGGCAAGAGACCGAUAGCGAACAAGUACCGUGAGGGAAAGAUGAAAAGGGACCUUGAAAAGGGAGUCAAAUAGUGCGUGAAAUUGUUAAAAGGGAAGCGAUAGGGGAUGAACGGGAUGCAGGAAGCGAAGGUGUUUUGGCACGAUCGGGGAGAGUGUCCAAGUCAAAGACGGUUGCGAGGGUUGGAAAAGAUUGAUGGAAAGAUGGGAACGAUUGCAAGAUUGGACCUUUAUAGACCAACAAUAAAAGACACUGGUGACCGGAAGAGAAGGAGGAAGCUUGUUGGGGUCUGGAGGAGCAGGAUUGCAGAAAUGCAAAAGGGCACCAAGGGACAGUAGCAAGCGGAGCAUUUCGCAAAUUUGACAAAUAGUCCUUUAUCGACCCGUCUUGAAACACGGACCAAGGAGUCUAACAAUGUUGCGAGCAGCAGAGUGACAAACUCGAAUGCGAAAUAAAAGUGAUAGUCUGGGAACGGGGAGGGAGUGAGUGGAGUAUGAAUAGUACUAGACUCAGCACCACGCGCACCAGAGACGCGAGAAAAGAAUUAGAUAUUCGAUCUCGCGUAAGAGUAGGAUUGUUGGGACCCGAAAGGUGGUGAACUAUGCCUGACUAGGGCAAAGCCAGAGGAAACUCUGGUGGAGGCUCGUAGCCGUUCUGACGUGCAAAUCGAUGGUCAAAGUUGGGUAUAGGGGCGAAAGACUAAUCGAACCACCUAGUAGCUGGUUCCCUC